Sinocyclocheilus rhinocerous is the source of this 285-nucleotide long non-coding RNA. RefSeq lists it as uncharacterized. NCBI's taxonomy places the organism in Eukaryota, Metazoa, Chordata, Actinopteri, Cypriniformes, Cyprinidae. The transcript is spliced from 3 exons. The record is from RefSeq and is a predicted model, not a curated record.
AGAAAGAAGAAAACGCCAAAGAAUAGAAGAUGGGGAGAACAGACGAAGAGAAUGGAGAGAGCGUUAUGCACAAAGAGAUGAGACUGCUGCCAGAAACCGGAUGUCCAUGUCUGAGAUGAAGGAAACCAACUAUGGCGAAACCCUAAAUUCAGACACAAACCGGCAGGCCAAGUACACCCGUAGCAGCAGCCAGACAGGACGAGACAGCAUUGAGUUGUUGCAGGACGCGGAGCCGUUGGACUUUAAUGCUGCAACACUCAAUGAUGACCCUUUGCAAUCUGAACC